Molecule: transfer RNA, 73 nt
Filed under: Canis lupus familiaris (dog)
Lineage: Eukaryota; Metazoa; Chordata; Mammalia; Carnivora; Canidae
Also listed under: 1 other name
Rfam family: tRNA
About the family: Transfer RNA (tRNA) molecules are approximately 80 nucleotides in length.
Source: Rfam by way of RNAcentral
UCCUGGCUGGCUCAGUCAGUAGAGCACACGAUUCUUGAUCUCAGGGUCAUGGGUUCAAGCCCCAUGUUGGGUG